This 157-nucleotide ribosomal RNA is filed under the name uncultured Cantharellales. Its description in RNAcentral is "5.8S ribosomal RNA". It matches the Rfam family "5.8S ribosomal RNA". From Rfam's summary of the family: 5.8S ribosomal RNA (5.8S rRNA) is a component of the large subunit of the eukaryotic ribosome. The record is from RNAcentral. Lineage: Eukaryota; Fungi; Basidiomycota; Agaricomycetes; Cantharellales.
CAACUUUUAACAACGGAUCUCUUGGCUCUCGCAUCGAUGAAGAACGCAGCGAAAUGCGAUACGUAAUGUGAAUUGCAGAAUUCAGUGAAUCAUCGAAUCUUUGAACGCACCUUGCACUCUCUGGUAUUCCGGAGAGUACGCCUGUUCGAGUGUCAUA